GCUUGUUAAAACCAUGCUGGAGGCUGGUGCAGUGGCUCACGCCUGUAAUCCCAGCACUUUAGGAGGCCGACGUGAGGCAGGCGGAUCACUUGGGGUCAGGAGUUUGACACCAGCCUGGCCAACCUGGUAAAACCCCAUCUCUAUUGAAAACACGAAAAUUAGCCAGGCGUGGUGGUGAGUGCCUGUGAUCCCAGCUACUCAGGAGGCUGAGGCAGGAGGAUCACUUGGACUCGGGAGGCAGAGUUACAGUGAGCCGAGAUCCUGCCACCGCACUCCAGCCUGGGCGACAGAGAAAGACCCCAUCUCAAAACAACAGCAACAACAACAAAACCGGGCUGGGCGUGCCUUCCCAUCGGACACCCGACCUCGCAAGACUGUCAUUAAAAGUCUCACUCUCGCUGUUCUCUGGGUUGUGAGUCCAUUCUCUGGGUGUGGACAGGCAUUCAGCUCAGUCUACGGCCCGCAGACAGAUUUCCUAGAAAUAACUGCUCCUACUUCUCAACUCUUAACAAAAAGGUCUCUGAAAAGGAAUUUGGAGGAAACAGACUAUUCCAGUGAAUAGUGUACAAGCCUGGGAGAUGCGGACUUUGGUGUAAAAUGAAGGUAGGAUUCAAAAGGUCCUGAUUCCAAUUACACAAGAGAAAACACACUGACUGCAAGUGCAGUUGAAGAAGGUUCUCAGAAGGGCACGCUGGAACCGCUCCCCGGUGCCAGGAGAGGUGUUUGAACUACGUGCUGCUGGGGCGCCCAGACGGGCUUCCCCACGAUCCAGGAAAUCAGAGCUUUUGCAACGUUGG
Molecule: long non-coding RNA, 797 nt
Filed under: Homo sapiens (human)
Lineage: Eukaryota; Metazoa; Chordata; Mammalia; Primates; Hominidae
Description: non-protein coding lnc-LRRC3-8:2
Source: RNAcentral